GAUGAACGCUAGCGGCAGGCUUAACACAUGCAAGUCGAGGGGUAUAGUUCUUCGGAAUUAGAGACCGGGCGCACGGGUGCGUAACGCGUAUGCAAUCUACCUUUCACAAAGGGAUAGCCCAGAGAAAUUUGGAUUAAUACCUUAUAGUAAUACGACUUGGCAUCAAGAUGUAUUUAAAGAUUUAUCGGUGAAAGAUGAGCAUGCGUCCAUUAGCUUGUUGGUAAGGUAACGGCUUACCAAGGCAACGAUGGGUAGGGGUCCUGAGAGGGAGAUCCCCCACACUGGUACUGAGACACGGACCAGACUCCUACGGGAGGCAGCAGUGAGGAAUAUUGGUCAAUGGGCGCAAGCCUGAACCAGCCAUGCCGCGUGCAGGAAGACGGUCCCUAUGGAUUGUAAACUGCUUUUAUACAGGAAGAAACCCUCCCACGUGUGGGAGCUUGACGGUACUGUAGGAUAAGGAUCGGCUAACUCCGUGCC
This 480-nucleotide ribosomal RNA is filed under the name uncultured bacterium. Its description in RNAcentral is "bacterial SSU rRNA". It matches the Rfam family "Bacterial small subunit ribosomal RNA", at positions 28 to 509 of the family's 1533-position model. The record is from RNAcentral.